Molecule: long non-coding RNA, 480 nt
Organism: Macrobrachium nipponense
Lineage: Eukaryota; Metazoa; Arthropoda; Malacostraca; Decapoda; Palaemonidae
Exons: 3
Source: RefSeq, a predicted model, not a curated record
ACGACUCUGAGCGAACAAGAUGUCCUUCUCCUCCACCACGAGGUGGAUUUUGGCUCUAAGUGUUUUUCUUCGGGCUUUUGUGUUCCCAAAAGCGAUUUAGAACCCUUGGCUAAUGAUUUCGAAUGGUCCAACCCGUCCCACAUCGAUGGCCAGGAACUCUUCGAAGGCGACAUUCUCCUGACGGCGGGACAGAAACUCCUUUUGCAGGAAAGGAAGGCUGUUGAUUACCUAACCAGAAGAUGGCCGAGCGGACCAGACGGUUUUCCUCUGGUCCGAUACACGUUUUACGACGAGAACGUAGACCAAGGAGCAGUGAUGGAAGCCAUCAGUCACUGGACAGAGAGCACCUGCAUCAAAUUCCAGAGAACGUCCCCGGGGGAGAUGAAUCCUCACAUUCAAUUCCACAAAGGCUUCGGUUGUUGGUCCUACAUCGGAAUGCUCAAGCAAGCAGGGCAGUUGUUGUCGAUCGGGAAUGGAUGU